RNAcentral lists this ribosomal RNA (725 nucleotides) under bacterium. Its description in RNAcentral is "bacterial SSU rRNA". It matches the Rfam family "Bacterial small subunit ribosomal RNA", at positions 63 to 778 of the family's 1533-position model. The record is from RNAcentral.
CGAACGGGUAGCACAGAGAGCUUGCUCUCGGGUGACGAGUGGCGGACGGGUGAGUAACGUCUGGGAAACUGCCCGAUGGAGGGGGAUAACUACUGGAAACGGUAGCUAAUACCGCAUAACGUCGCAAGACCAAAGUGGGGGACCUUCGGGCCUCACACCAUCGGAUGUGCCCAGAUGGGAUUAGCUAGUAGGUGGGGUAAUGGCUCACCUAGGCGACGAUCCCUAGCUGGUCUGAGAGGAUGACCAGCCACACUGGAACUGAGACACGGUCCAGACUCCUACGGGAGGCAGCAGUGGGGAAUAUUGCACAAUGGGCGCAAGCCUGAUGCAGCCAUGCCGCGUGUAUGAAGAAGGCCUUCGGGUUGUAAAGUACUUUCAGCGGGGAGGAAGGCGGUGAAGUUAAUAGCUUCACCGAUUGACGUUACCCGCAGAAGAAGCACCGGCUAACUCCGUGCCAGCAGCCGCGGUAAUACGGAGGGUGCAAGCGUUAAUCGGAAUUACUGGGCGUAAAGCGCACGCAGGCGGUCUGUCAAGUCGGAUGUGAAAUCCCCGGGCUUAACCUGGGAACUGCAUUCGAAACUGGCAGGCUAGAGUCUUGUAGAGGGGGGUAGAAUUCCAGGUGUAGCGGUGAAAUGCGUAGAGAUCUGGAGGAAUACCGGUGGCGAAGGCGGCCCCCUGGACAAAGACUGACGCUCAGGUGCGAAAGCGUGGGGAGCAACAGUAAA